AACGAACGCUGGCGGCAUGCCUAACACAUGCAAGUCGAACGAGACCUUCGGGUCUAGUGGCGCACGGGUGCGUAACGCGUGGGAACCUGCCCUUAGGUUCGGAAUAACUCCCCGAAAGGGGUGCUAAUACCGGAUAAUGUCUUCGGACCAAAGAUUUAUCGCCUUUGGAUGGGCCCGCAUUGGAUUAGCUAGUUGGUAGGGUAAAAGCCUACCAAGGCGACGAUCCAUAGCUGGUCUGAGAGGAUGAUCAGCCACACUGGGACUGAGACACGGCCCAGACUCCUACGGGAGGCAGCAGUGGGGAAUAUUGGACAAUGGGCGAAAGCCUGAUCCAGCAAUGCCGCGUGAGUGAUGAAGGCCUUAGGGUUGUAAAGCUCUUUUACCCGGGAUGAUAAUGGCAGUACCGGGAGAAUAAGCUCCGGCUAACUCCGUG
RNAcentral lists this ribosomal RNA (433 nucleotides) under uncultured bacterium. Its description in RNAcentral is "partial 16S ribosomal RNA". It matches the Rfam family "Bacterial small subunit ribosomal RNA", at positions 29 to 507 of the family's 1533-position model. The record is from RNAcentral.